This 2908-nucleotide ribosomal RNA is filed under the name Klebsiella pneumoniae subsp. pneumoniae ST258-K26BO. RNAcentral describes it as "LSU rRNA". It matches the Rfam family "Bacterial large subunit ribosomal RNA". Lineage: Bacteria; Pseudomonadati; Pseudomonadota; Gammaproteobacteria; Enterobacterales; Enterobacteriaceae. The record is from RNAcentral.
GGUUAAGCGACUAAGCGUACACGGUGGAUNNCNNUGCCCUGGCAGUCAGAGGCGAUGAAGGACGUGCUAAUCUGCGAAAAGCGUCGGUAAGGUGAUAUGAACCGUUAUAACCGGCGAUGUCCGAAUGGGGAAACCCAGUGCAAUUCGUUGCACUAUCGUUAACUGAAUACAUAGGUUAACGAGGCGAACCGGGGGAACUGAAACAUCUAAGUACCCCGAGGAAAAGAAAUCAACCGAGAUUCCCCCAGUAGCGGCGAGCGAACGGGGAGCAGCCCAGAGUCUGAAUCAGCUUGUGUGUUAGUGGAACGGUCUGGAAAGUCCGACGGUACAGGGUGAUAGUCCCGUACACCAAAAUGCACAGGCUGUGAACUCGAAGAGUAGGGCGGGACACGUGGUAUCCUGUCUGAAUAUGGGGGGACCAUCCUCCAAGGCUAAAUACUCCUGACUGACCGAUAGUGAACCAGUACCGUGAGGGAAAGGCGAAAAGAACCCCGGCGAGGGGAGUGAAAAAGAACCUGAAACCGUGUACGUACAAGCAGUGGGAGCACCUUCGGGUGUGACUGCGUACCUUUUGUAUAAUGGGUCAGCGACUUAUAUUCUGUAGCAAGGUUAACCGUAUAGGGGAGCCGCAGGGAAACCGAGUCUUAACUGGGCGUUAAGUUGCAGGGUAUAGACCCGAAACCCGGUGAUCUAGCCAUGGGCAGGUUGAAGGUUGGGUAACACUAACUGGAGGACCGAACCGACUAAUGUUGAAAAAUUAGCGGAUGACUUGUGGCUGGGGGUGAAAGGCCAAUCAAACCGGGAGAUAGCUGGUUCUCCCCGAAAGCUAUUUAGGUAGCGCCUCGUGAACUCAUCUUCGGGGGUAGAGCACUGUUUCGGCUAGGGGGUCAUCCCGACUUACCAACCCGAUGCAAACUACGAAUACCGAAGAAUGUUAUCACGGGAGACACACGGCGGGUGCUAACGUCCGUCGUGAAGAGGGAAACAACCCAGACCGCCAGCUAAGGUCCCAAAGUCAUGGUUAAGUGGGAAACGAUGUGGGAAGGCACAGACAGCCAGGAUGUUGGCUUAGAAGCAGCCAUCAUUUAAAGAAAGCGUAAUAGCUCACUGGUCGAGUCGGCCUGCGCGGAAGAUGUAACGGGGCUAAACCAUGCACCGAAGCUGCGGCAGCGACACUAUGUGUUGUUGGGUAGGGGAGCGUUCUGUAAGCCUGCGAAGGUGUGCUGUGAGGCAUGCUGGAGGUAUCAGAAGUGCGAAUGCUGACAUAAGUAACGAUAAAGCGGGUGAAAAGCCCGCUCGCCGGAAGACCAAGGGUUCCUGUCCAACGUUAAUCGGGGCAGGGUGAGUCGACCCCUAAGGCGAGGCCGAAAGGCGUAGUCGAUGGGAAACAGGUUAAUAUUCCUGUACUUGGUGUUACUGCGAAGGGGGGACGGAGAAGGCUAUGUUAGCCGGGCGACGGUUGUCCCGGUUUAAGCAUGUAGGCUGAUUGUCCAGGCAAAUCCGGAUAAUCAAGGCUGAGGUGUGAUGACGAGGCACUACGGUGCUGAAGUAACAAAUGCCCUGCUUCCAGGAAAAGCCUCUAAGCAUCAGGUAACAUCAAAUCGUACCCCAAACCGACACAGGUGGUCAGGUAGAGAAUACCAAGGCGCUUGAGAGAACUCGGGUGAAGGAACUAGGCAAAAUGGUGCCGUAACUUCGGGAGAAGGCACGCUGGUGUGUAGGUGAAGUCCCUGCGGAUGGAGCUGAGACCAGUCGAAGAUACCAGCUGGCUGCAACUGUUUAUUAAAAACACAGCACUGUGCAAACACGAAAGUGGACGUAUACGGUGUGACGCCUGCCCGGUGCCGGAAGGUUAAUUGAUGGGGUUAUCCGUAAGGAGAAGCUCUUGAUCGAAGCCCCGGUAAACGGCGGCCGUAACUAUAACGGUCCUAAGGUAGCGAAAUUCCUUGUCGGGUAAGUUCCGACCUGCACGAAUGGCGUAAUGAUGGCCAGGCUGUCUCCACCCGAGACUCAGUGAAAUUGAACUCGCUGUGAAGAUGCAGUGUACCCGCGGCAAGACGGAAAGACCCCGUGAACCUUUACUAUAGCUUGACACUGAACAUUGAGCCUUGAUGUGUAGGAUAGGUGGGAGGCUUUGAAGCGUGGACGCCAGUCUGCGUGGAGCCAACCUUGAAAUACCACCCUUUAAUGUUUGAUGUUCUAACGUUGGCCCCUGACCGGGGUUGCGGACAGUGUCUGGUGGGUAGUUUGACUGGGGCGGUCUCCUCCCAAAGCGUAACGGAGGAGCACGAAGGUUAGCUAAUCCUGGUCGGACAUCAGGAGGUUAGUGCAAUGGCAUAAGCUAGCUUGACUGCGAGCGUGACGGCGCGAGCAGGUGCGAAAGCAGGUCAUAGUGAUCCGGUGGUUCUGAAUGGAAGGGCCAUCGCUCAACGGAUAAAAGGUACUCCGGGGAUAACAGGCUGAUACCGCCCAAGAGUUCAUAUCGACGGCGGUGUUUGGCACCUCGAUGUCGGCUCAUCACAUCCUGGGGCUGAAGUAGGUCCCAAGGGUAUGGCUGUUCGCCAUUUAAAGUGGUACGCGAGCUGGGUUUAGAACGUCGUGAGACAGUUCGGUCCCUAUCUGCCGUGGGCGCUGGAGAAUUGAGGGGGGCUGCUCCUAGUACGAGAGGACCGGAGUGGACGCAUCACUGGUGUUCGGGUUGUCAUGCCAAUGGCACUGCCCGGUAGCUAAAUGCGGAAGAGAUAAGUGCUGAAAGCAUCUAAGCACGAAACUUGCCCCGAGAUGAGUUCUCCCUGAGACUAUAAGUCUCCUGAAGGAACGUUAAAGACGAUGACGUUGAUAGGCCGGGUGUGUAAGCGCAGCGAUGCGUUGAGCUAACCGGUACUAAUGAACCGUGAGGCUUAACCUU